This 253-nucleotide ribosomal RNA is filed under the name uncultured bacterium. RNAcentral describes it as "partial 16S ribosomal RNA". It matches the Rfam family "Bacterial small subunit ribosomal RNA", at positions 524 to 776 of the family's 1533-position model. The record is from RNAcentral.
CACGUACUGUGCGAACGUUAUUCGGAAUCACUGGGCUUAAAGGGUAUGUAGGCGGUUAAUCAAGUCAGAUGUGAAAUGCCACAGCUCAACUGUGGCACUGCGUUUGAAACUGAUUGGCUAGAGUAUUCCAGAGGUAUGCGGAACUGCCAGUGGAGCGGUGAAAUGCGUUGAUAUUGGCAGGAACACCAGAGGCGAAGGCGGCAUACUGGGGGAUAACUGACGCUGAGAUACGAAAGCCAGGGUAGCGAACGGG